This 498-nucleotide ribosomal RNA is filed under the name uncultured bacterium. Its description in RNAcentral is "partial 16S ribosomal RNA". It matches the Rfam family "Bacterial small subunit ribosomal RNA", at positions 28 to 507 of the family's 1533-position model. The record is from RNAcentral.
GACGAACGCUGGCGGCAUGCCUAAUACAUGCAAGUUGAACGAUGAUAUUCUCUGCUUGCCGCGAAUUGAAGAGUAGCGAACGGGUGAGUAACACGUGGGGAACCUGCCCAUGAGAGGGGGAUAACAUUCGGAAACGGAUGCUAAUACCGCAUAAUGCUUUGGACCGCCUGGUCCAGAGACGAAAGACGGCUUUUGCUGUCACUCAUGGAUGGCCCCGCGCCGUAUUAGCUAGUUGGUGAGGUAAUGGCUCACCAAAGCUGUGAUACGUAGCCGACCUGAGAGGGUGAUCGGCCACACUGGGACUGAGACACGGCCCAGACUCCUACGGGAGGCAGCAGUAGGGAAUCUUCCACAAUGGGCGAAAGCCUGAUGGAGCAAUGCCGCGUGAAUGAAGAAGGUCUUCGGAUCGUAAAGUUCUGUUAUUAGAGAAGAACAAGUCAAGGAGUAACUGUCUUGACUUUGACGGUACCUAACCAGAAAGUCACGGCUAACUACGUG